Molecule: transfer RNA, 84 nt
Filed under: Wigglesworthia glossinidia endosymbiont of Glossina brevipalpis
Lineage: Bacteria; Pseudomonadati; Pseudomonadota; Gammaproteobacteria; Enterobacterales; Erwiniaceae
Description: tRNA-Leu (TAG) (tRNA-Leu-TAG-1-1)
Rfam family: tRNA
About the family: Transfer RNA (tRNA) molecules are approximately 80 nucleotides in length. Their secondary structure includes four short double-helical elements and three loops (D, anti-codon, and T loops).
Source: Rfam by way of RNAcentral
GCGGAAGUGGCGAAACAGGCAGACGCACCAGAUUUAGGAUCUGACGCCUUAAUUGGUAUGCGAGUUCAAAUCUCGCCUUCCGCA